UACGAAGGGGGCUAGCGUUGUUCGGAUUUACUGGGCGUAAAGCGCACGUAGGCGGAUUGUUAAGUCAGGGGUGAAAUCCUGGAGCUCAACUCCAGAACUGCCUUUGAUACUGGCGAUCUCGAGUCCGGGAGAGGUGAGUGGAACUGCGAGUGUAGAGGUGAAAUUCGUAGAUAUUCGCAAGAACACCAGUGGCGAAGGCGGCUCACUGGCCCGGUACUGACGCUGAGGUGCGAAAGCGUGGGGAGCAAACAGG
RNAcentral lists this ribosomal RNA (253 nucleotides) under uncultured bacterium. RNAcentral describes it as "partial 16S ribosomal RNA". It matches the Rfam family "Bacterial small subunit ribosomal RNA", at positions 524 to 776 of the family's 1533-position model. The record is from RNAcentral.